Pelobates cultripes (western spadefoot toad) is the source of this 211-nucleotide non-coding RNA. Lineage: Eukaryota; Metazoa; Chordata; Amphibia; Anura; Pelobatidae. The record is from the annotation of a GenBank genome assembly.
UAUGUUUGUCAUUAUACAUAGUAAACGCAUUAUAUAGAUAAUUGUUUCACGUUUUUGAUAAUGCCUAGAAAUUGUAGGACUUGGGAUCUGAGUGAUUGACAGCGGAGAUUGAUCAUUUCCUUAGUUCGUAUGUUGUCAUGUUCUACUAGUUCCACUGGCCUUGUAGUUAUAAAUAAUAGAUCUAUUUUUAUUUUGCCCCGCAGUAUUAUCC